GACGAACGCUGGCGGCGUGCUUAACACAUGCCAGUCGAACGGAAAGGCCCUGCUUGCAGUGUACUCGAGUGGAGAACGGGUGAGUAACACGUGGGUGAUCUGCCCUGCACUUCGAGAUAAGCCUGUUAAACUGGUACUAAUACCGGAUAGGUGACAUUUUUAGUGUGAUGGUUGGAAAGUUUUAUCGGUGUAGGAUGAGGUGGCGGCCUAUCAGCUUGUUGGUGGGGUAAUGGCGUACCACGACGGCGACGGGUCGCCGGCCUGAGAGGGUGGACUGCCACAAUGAGACUUAGGUGCGGCCCAGACACCUAAGUGAGGCAGCAGUGGGGAAUAUUGAGCAAUGGACGCAAGCCUGAUGCAGAGAAGCCGCGUGGGGGAUGACGGCCUUAGGGUUGUAAACUCGGUUCGCUAGGGACGAGGCGUUUUGUGACGGUACCUAGAUGAGAAGCAACGGCUAGCUACGUG
Molecule: ribosomal RNA, 465 nt
Filed under: uncultured bacterium
Lineage: Bacteria
Description: partial 16S ribosomal RNA
Rfam family: Bacterial small subunit ribosomal RNA
Source: RNAcentral